This 465-nucleotide ribosomal RNA is filed under the name Vreelandella stevensii. Its description in RNAcentral is "partial 16S ribosomal RNA". It matches the Rfam family "Bacterial small subunit ribosomal RNA", at positions 338 to 795 of the family's 1533-position model. Lineage: Bacteria; Pseudomonadati; Pseudomonadota; Gammaproteobacteria; Oceanospirillales; Halomonadaceae. The record is from RNAcentral.
CCUACGGGGGGCAGCAGUGGGGAAUAUUGGACAAUGGGGGGAACCCUGAUCCAGCCAUGCCGCGUGUUUGAAGAAGGCCCUCGGGUUGUAAAGCACUUUCAGUGAGGAAGAACGCCUGGUGGUUAAUACCCAUCAGGAAAGACAUCACUCACAGAAGAAGCACCGGCUAACUCCGUGCCAGCAGCCGCGGUAAUACGGAGGGUGCGAGCGUUAAUCGGAAUUACUGGGCGUAAAGCGCGCGUAGGUGGCUUGAUAAGCCGGUUGUGAAAGCCCCGGGCUCAACCUGGGAACGGCAUCCGGAACUGUCAAGCUAGAGUGCAGGAGAGGAAGGUAGAAUUCCUGGUGUAGCGGUGAAAUGCGUAGAGAUCGGGAGGAAUACCAGUGGCGAAGGCGGCCUUCUGGACUGACACUGACACUGAGGUGCGAAAGCGUGGGUAGCAAACAGGAUUAGAUACCCUAGUAGUC